AUGGUAGACGGAGCAAAGAAAAACAUCCAACCAAUUCUGUUAGACUGUUUUGGAAAGCUAGUGGCAAGGAAAGAAAGAAAGCGAAUGAAGACUAGAAGAACAUAUGACACAAUUGCUUCUCGACAACAUGAUAUAGUUGAAGCUCCGACUACGAGGGCUCGAGCGAGGCGGUUGGCCGACCAGUUUCGUGCUCUUCACACUAUCCGACGUAGAGGAUCUAGACCUGCUUCUAAACGGACGAGAGUUGAUGAUGAUGAGCAAGUUGAUGUUCAGGAAACAAUUCAGAAUGAUAUGUAG
Molecule: non-coding RNA, 297 nt
Organism: Vicia faba (fava bean)
Lineage: Eukaryota; Viridiplantae; Streptophyta; Magnoliopsida; Fabales; Fabaceae
Source: the annotation of a GenBank genome assembly